Molecule: long non-coding RNA, 2096 nt
Organism: Rosa chinensis
Lineage: Eukaryota; Viridiplantae; Streptophyta; Magnoliopsida; Rosales; Rosaceae
Exons: 5
Source: RefSeq, a predicted model, not a curated record
AAUAAGUUAAUCACACGACACUCAUCAGACGACACAUGAGUUUUUGCUGUCGUCUGAGUUAGUCAGACGACAGAUUUUUUAAAUCAGUCGUCUCAUCUCUACUCAUCCAACACAUGAUCAUUUCGUAAAUUUCAGAGAUUUCAGACGACACUAACAAGGAUAUCUGUCGUCUGAAUAACGGAAAAAAAAAAAACAAUCAUUAAUUUAUAUUUAUUUUUCCCCCCUCUCAAAACACCCAAAACCUUUCCGCCAAAAAAAAUUUAAACACCCAAAACCUAGCAGUAAACCCGAGUUCCCUCCCUUAGCUAAAAAUUUGGGUCAACUCUCCCUCCCAAAUUGCUCUCGGCCUCCCUCCGACUCACCAUUGCUCUCACCCUCAAUCCCCCUCACCCCCUCACCCUCUCCACCUCGCUCCACCAUCGCUCUCACCCUCAAUCACCAUCGCUCUCACCCUUAAUCCCCCUCACCCCCUCACCGGCUCACCCUCUCCACCUAGCUCUCACUCGAUCUCAGCGGGUUUUUCUUACUCGAUCUCAGGAGCAACUGGAGUUCAAGAAAGCUGUCUAAGGCGCAAAUCAAGGUCCAAUUUCAACGCUUUAAUUAUCCAAUUUCUGAAAUUUCCAAUUGGGUUUUGCGAUUUUGAUUGUUAUUGAAAACCUAAUUGCAGUUCUGUUCAUUGCUCCUAGCUGGGUUUGAUGCUUCUCGAGUCUUUAACUCUUUCCCUUCUCAAAUCUCAAAGCUCUCUUCCAGUUACGCCAGCCCUACAACUUCUUUGCCUUCCUCUUCAGUAAAGUAGUGAUUUCAAUACUGGUAGUAGUCCUAGUGCUGGCACUAGCAACUCCGUUGAUUCUCAAUCGCUUGGUGAUUAUGAAGAGUAUGAUAGUAGAGACAGUGUGAAGUGUACGGAGGAAAGUCGAGGACCACCAUGCACUGGGUUUGUGGAAGGUAUGGCUCCGGUUUUUUCAAGAUCUGCCUGGCAUUGCACUUGGCAUCUUAUACAGGUAAUCUCUAUAUAUUGGUCUGUGGCUUCAAUUAAUAUUUUGAAAUAUGAUGAAGAAAAUCAUACUCUUGUUACUACUUACAUCAAACUUUUACUAUCAAAUAGCUCCAUAUCCUCAAUGUAUUGAUUUUCAACUCGUAAUUGUAUCGUCUGGAGUACUAUCUCUUGUUAAAUUUGGGCACCACCAACAUGUCAAAUAUCACUUUGGAAAUGUCUGUAUUAAAUUUUUGAAAUAUGGUUUAAAUCUUUUAAUAUGGGCUUGAUACAGAAAUAUUUUCUCUUGUUCUGUGGUUUUACAUUCUUCUGAUGUGAAGUAUAUUGGUCCUUACUUUACUGCCUUUUCUUUUUCUACUUGGUUGGAAGUAUAUUGGUACUUACUUUUCUGCCUUUUCUUUUGAUCUACUUAGCCUGGCCUAAAGACCUAAUAAUUUUUCCUACAGAGAAGGUAACAAAUGGUUAUCCGAUCAAUAAUGGUUUUAACUUCAUUUAAAUGUACACUAGUUUUUUUUUGUUACUAACUAGAUGGCAGCAAAGAGUAAAGGAAUGCAGAUACAGAGUGACUCCAUUUUCUCAAUUAAAACGAUCUGCAUAGUUGUGUUGUCUAACUACCUAUAUGAGGGAUCAAUUAAACUACCAUAUGAAGACUAAUAUUUUGACAGAUUUUGUGGUACAGAUUAAGUGGUUCCAUGUAGCUAAGCCUUGCACAAACUGGUUUUUACUUUCAACAUUGGGACUUUGUUGUUUUCUUUGCCUGAUUUUCUGUGAAAAGUAAAGAAGAUAGCAACAACGUACUACUACUAUUUAGUCUGUAAAAAAUCAGUGGGAGAGAAGAGGGAAGGCAACAUAUACGCACCAGCAUAUUGAUGCAGUCAGAACAGAGUGGGCAAAAUUUGUUGUUAAAACAUAUAUGUAACCAGUAUCGCAUCUAGCUGGUUAGCACUUGGGUUUAGGGACUUAUUUUGGUAACCUUGAUAUAUGAUACAUUUUCACUUUUGUAAAUUUGUUGGAUAUGGCAAUGUAUGAAAUGGAUGGCAGUAAUCUAUGACAAUGUGGUAUUUUGGAUAUGUUUUGGACAUGAAAUUUCAUAUUUGCAAUA